CCUAAUGGUGCAUGAGAAGGAGUACUGGCGACCUCGAAUGUAUUCGAGUUGCUCAAUCUUGAUAACCUUUAAGGUGUACCAUGGCUCCAAAUGUGUAAUCUUCUUUAACUUUUUCCCAGCUAAUUUGCGUUGACACUUCCAAAGAACUUCCAUAAAGUUCGUCUCUCAGACCCUUGUGCACAUCUUGGAUUACACUUGAUGCUCAUUCUGCAGUGAGUCCAUUGGAAGGAGAAUAAUUUAGAGGCAUCUUUGCAUAAUGUCAUGAGGCUUAGAUGACCGACUCUUGCUCUUUCUAAUAGGAAAUUUGGUUGCAUUUUUAGGAGCCCCUGCUCAAUUUUGUGAGUUAAAUGACCUAUUGAUGGAAACUCCUUAUUGGAAACCAGGCUGGAUUGAGGUUAGUUUGGGUACCCUAUGCUUAGAUUUAAGCCUGCUUGGCAUAAUCUUUGCAAUAUGUCUGGGGAUUUUGGUCGUUAACCAGAAUUGUUUGUUUGUUCUUAUAGCGCUAUUUUAUUGGAUGUUCAAAGUUUACAAAGGUAUUUCCAAAUAGUGCAUGAGCAGUAAUUUAUUGUUAAGUGCUCAUCAAAAUAUAAGAAAUUCUAUUUUCAUAAAACAAUUUUGAAAGAGGUUAACGAAAAUAUGUUUAAGCAGAUGAGAGGUGAGUCCUAAGAUUGUGCGAAAUAUGAUAGUAUUAUUGAGUUAAAGAGUGAAGCUAUAUUUACAAUUCAUAAUGACGUUGGGUUUCCUUGUUAAAACUGGAACUUGUUUGUUUUGUGAUAGCUUAAGUUCCAUGCGCUUGUAUUCUGCUCUGCACACCCAAAUGACAAACGAAUAGAGGUAAAAUUACCGAUAAAGUAUAAACACAUGUUUCUUUCCAUCUUCCUUGACUUCUAUUUAUGGGAUCAUCAAUGUACAUUGUAGACUUAUUGAUUGUGGUCUAUUUCAGUCACUCCUUUUGUCUUUAGGAAAUUUUCAAUGGUGAUGGGCUUGUGCUUCAAUCUGGUAACUAUCUUUUGUUGUAGCUAAUGUUCAAUCUAUUUAUUAUUGAUUUCCAAAGCUUGAUACUUCUCAGAGUUUUGUUAAAUAGAGUUGCAGAAAAUGACCUCUUUGAUUGGUCGGGACGCUCGAAGUUAAUUGACUACAUAUCCAAUUUCAUAUUAGUCCGACCUCACAUUGGUCAGACUAUGAUUGAAAAGCUACUCAGAAUGCUCCAAGAUCCUGAUUACCGAGUUAGGUUCUCCUUGGCAAGGUAGAUUAGCACUCUUUUCCAAACUUGGGAUGGCCACGAUGACCUUUUCCACGAUAUAUGUUCAAAUUUUGGUGCAAAGUUGGUGGUUCCAUCGAAGGAAAAAGUGGUUACUGCAAAAGAGGUCUUGGCUAUUGUUCCUCAGCCUCGUUCAACAAUGGAAACCAUUAUCAUCACUCUCAUGCAUCUCGCAAUGUUCAGUGAGAAGAUAGAGCUUGGGGCUGUUUAUAUGAUGUGUCUUAUUUCUGCAAUUGAUCCUUCUCAGAGGGAAUUGGUUGUUGUUGCGCUUGAUAAUCUAUCAAGACAGCUCUAGUAUACUAGUAGGUCAAAGUACUUGGAGGAACUUAUGGGAUCAAUUCUCUUUUCUUGGGUUGCUUGUGGCGUGAGCUUAGUUUCACUCAUAGAGAUAAGGGGUCUAUUUGUUUUUGGGAUGAAGCCUAGUAAUUUCAUGCAGUAUUGUUGCCAUUGGCUUCUUCCCGCUUUAGUUUUGCAUGGGGAGACUUCCAACCUAAACUGGGUAUGUAA
Molecule: long non-coding RNA, 1768 nt
Organism: Rhododendron vialii
Lineage: Eukaryota; Viridiplantae; Streptophyta; Magnoliopsida; Ericales; Ericaceae
Exons: 7
Source: RefSeq, a predicted model, not a curated record